This 433-nucleotide ribosomal RNA is filed under the name uncultured bacterium. Its description in RNAcentral is "partial 16S ribosomal RNA". It matches the Rfam family "Bacterial small subunit ribosomal RNA", at positions 29 to 507 of the family's 1533-position model. The record is from RNAcentral.
AACGAACGCUGGCGGCAUGCCUAACACAUGCAAGUCGAACGAGACCUUCGGGUCUAGUGGCGCACGGGUGCGUAACGCGUGGGAACCUGCCCUUAGGUUCGGAAUAACUCCCCGAAAGGGGUGCUAAUACCGGAUAAUGUCUUCGGACCAAAGAUUUAUCGCCUUUGGGUGGGCCCGCGUUGGAUUAGCUAGUUGGUAGGGUAAAAGCCUACCAAGGCGACGAUCCAUAGCUGGUCUGAGAGGAUGAUCAGCCACACUGGGACUGAGACACGGCCCAGACUCCUACGGGAGGCAGCAGUGGGGAAUAUUGGGCAAUGGGCGAAAGCCUGGUCCAGCAAUGCCGCGUGAGUGAUGAAGGCCUUAGGGUUGUAAAGCUCUUUUACCCGGGGUGAUAAUGACAGUACCGGGAAAAUAAGCUCCGGCUAACUCCGUG